RNAcentral lists this ribosomal RNA (130 nucleotides) under Alteromonas macleodii. Its description in RNAcentral is "partial 23S ribosomal RNA". It matches the Rfam family "Bacterial large subunit ribosomal RNA", at positions 1 to 129 of the family's 2925-position model. The record is from RNAcentral. RNAcentral also lists the same sequence under 1 other name. Lineage: Bacteria; Pseudomonadati; Pseudomonadota; Gammaproteobacteria; Alteromonadales; Alteromonadaceae.
GGUUAAGUGACGAAGCGUAUACGGUGGAUGCCUUGGCAGUUAGAGGCGAUGAAGGACGUGUAAGUCUGCGAAAAGCUGUGGUGAGCCGACAAAAUGCAUUUGAGCCACAGAUUUCCGAAUGGGGAAACCC